GAUACACUGUUACUUGGAGUUUGUUACUUUUGUGUUGCCAAAAUGCUGGAUGGUUGUUGUGCUUUCGAAUGCACUAAUUGACGACGAGACAAGCCUGAGCUGUGUUAGGUGAGGGAUUCCCUACAAGGUAAACGUAAAUAUUUCCACAGUCGAGCGCUGGCAGGGACCUGGCAGCUUUUAACGGCAGAAAUACUGCAGCAGGUGCUGUAUAUGGAUCGCAAGUGCCCAAUACUUGCAGUUUGUGUCCAUAUCUAUCUUUUUCUUGAGUUUAGAGGUGAUCCAAAUAAAAUUUAGCGGGUUUUGCGGUGUCUCUACAAGGGAGUCCUAUGUGAGCCACUAUCUUGGUCUGUUGUUUUGCCCUCCGCGCAUGUCACCUGACUCAAAAAUAUUAAUAGGAGUGUUGUGACAGUUUUUAUUUUUUUGGGCCAAGUUGAAAAGUGGGAGAAUCUAGCUAAUUAUAGUUUUCAGUCACAUGACAUGGCAAUCCAGGAAAUCUGCAUCUUAUGCUUCAUUAGGUGGUGGGACAAGCUGGCCAGGAUGACAGGUUUGACUUUGACGAUUCAGGCAACGCUACUUUACGGAUGAAAGUUUCGGAGGCAGUUUGUAAACUUGUGGGCCAGGCUUUCAUAUGCCACUGUUGCUCUGCGGUCGUCUUCUGCAGUGGUCUGUGAGACUGUGAAGGGCUCUGUGAGCCUGACUGGCCUGCUGGCUAGCUACCCCCGCAGGCACUGUGGAGCUUCUCAAUUCCAGAAAUGUUGGAGAACAUUUUGAUUCACCAUCAAUAAAAUGUCAAUAUUUGAUAUUUCUCGCCUUAAACAAUCUCAGAAGUGAAUUUAGUGAUUAAACAGCAUACAAAAACUGAAAA
Molecule: long non-coding RNA, 865 nt
Organism: Micropterus dolomieu (smallmouth bass)
Lineage: Eukaryota; Metazoa; Chordata; Actinopteri; Centrarchiformes; Centrarchidae
Exons: 2
Source: RefSeq, a predicted model, not a curated record